This 299-nucleotide ribosomal RNA is filed under the name uncultured bacterium. RNAcentral's name for it is "partial 16S ribosomal RNA". It matches the Rfam family "Bacterial small subunit ribosomal RNA", at positions 333 to 649 of the family's 1533-position model. The record is from RNAcentral.
UUGGCCCUACGGGACGCAGCAGUGGGGGAUAUUGCACAAUGGGGGAAACCCUGAUGCAGCGACGCCGCGUGAGUGAAGAAGUAAUUCGUUACGUAAAGCUCUAUCAGCAGGGAAGAAAAUGACGGUACCUGACUAAGAAGCCCCGGCUAACUACGUGCCAGCAGCCGCGGUAAUACGUAGGGGGCAAGCGUUAUCCGGAAUUACUGGGUGUAAAGGGAGCGCAGACGGCAGUGCAAGUCUGGAGUGAAAGCCCGUGGCUUACCUACGGGACUGCUCUGGAAACUGUGCAGCUAGAGUGC